ACAGAUUCCUUCGGGAUGAAGAUGCUUGAGACUUAGUGGCGGACGGGUGAGUAACGCGUGGGUAACCUGCCCUGUACUGGGGGACAACAGUUAGAAAUGACUGCUAAUACCGCAUAAGCCUACGGAGUCGCAUGACUCAGCAGGAAAAAUUCCGGUGGUACAGGAUGGGCCCGCGUCUGAUUAGCUAGUUGGUGAGGUAAUGGCUCACCAAGGCGACGAUCAGUAGCCGGCUUGAGAGAGUGAACGGCCACAUUGGGACUGAGACACGGCCCAAACUCCUACGGGAGGCAGCAGUGGGGAAUAUUGCACAAUGGGGGAAACCCUGAUGCAGCGACGCCGCGUGAGCGAAGAAGUAUUUCGGUAUGUAAAGCUCUAUCAGCAGGGAAGAAGAAAUGACGGUACCUGACUAAGAAGCACCGGCUAAAUACGUGCCAGCAGCCGCGGUAAUACGUAUGGUGCAAGCGUUAUCCGGAUUUACUGGGUGUAAAGGGAGCGCAGGCGGAAGGCUAAGUCUGAUGUGAAAGCCCGGGGCUCAACCCCGGUACUGCAUUGGAAACUGGUCAUCUAGAGUGUCGGAGGGGUAAGUGGAAUUCCUAGUGUAGCGGUGAAAUGCGUAGAUAUUAGGAGGAACACCAGUGGCGAAGGCGGCUUACUGGACGAUAACUGACGCUGAGGCUCGAAAGCGUGGGGAGCAAAC
Molecule: ribosomal RNA, 697 nt
Filed under: uncultured Lachnospiraceae bacterium
Lineage: Bacteria; Bacillati; Bacillota; Clostridia; Lachnospirales; Lachnospiraceae
Description: bacterial SSU rRNA
Rfam family: Bacterial small subunit ribosomal RNA
Source: RNAcentral